This 489-nucleotide ribosomal RNA is filed under the name uncultured bacterium. RNAcentral describes it as "bacterial SSU rRNA". It matches the Rfam family "Bacterial small subunit ribosomal RNA", at positions 18 to 509 of the family's 1533-position model. The record is from RNAcentral.
CCUGGCUCAGGAUGAACGCUGGCGGCGUGCCUAACACAUGCAAGUCGAACGAAGCGCCUUUUGAGAUUCUUCGGAUGAUCAUUUGGUGACUGAGUGGCGGACGGGUGAGUAACGCGUGGGUAACCUGCCCUGUACAGGGGGAUAACAGCCAGAAAUGGCUGCUAAUACCGCAUAAGCGCACAUGAGGACAUCCUCAAGUGUGAAAAACUCCGGUGGUACAGGAUGGGCCCGCGUCUGAUUAGCUGGUUGGCGGGGUAACGGCCCACCAAGGCGACGAUCAGUAGCCGGUCUGAGAGGAUGAACGGCCACAUUGGAACUGAGACACGGUCCAAACUCCUACGGGAGGCAGCAGUGGGGAAUAUUGCACAAUGGGGGAAACCCUGAUGCAGCAACGCCGCGUGAGUGAAGAAGUAUUUCGGUAUGUAAAGCUCUAUCAGCAGGGAAGAUAAUGACGGUACCUGACUAAGAAGCUCCGGCUAAAUACGUGCC